Molecule: small RNA, 475 nt
Filed under: Pongo abelii (Sumatran orangutan)
Lineage: Eukaryota; Metazoa; Chordata; Mammalia; Primates; Hominidae
Description: retained intron
Source: RNAcentral
GUUAUAUCUGCUUCUCUCUCUCUCUCUCUCGGGUUUUAUUCACAGGAAUUGCUGGUCACUUCUUAUACUAUAUUUUGGGUGGUUUUUUUUUCUUCAUUCUCACCCCCUUGCAGGUACAUUCAUUAAAACUUGCCCUUGAAGGCGUGGAAAAGGAAAGGGAUUUCUACUUUGGGAAGUUGAGAGAGAUCGAGCUACUCUGCCAAGAACACGGGCAGGAAAAUGAUGACCUCGUGCAGCGACUAAUGGACGUCCUGUAUGCUUCAGAAGAACACGAGGGCCACACAGAAGAGCCGGAAGCAGAGGAGCAAGCCCACGAACAGCAGCCCCCGCAGCAGGAAGAGUACUGACCCACUCCGGCUGCUCUUGACACUUCCAUUGUGCGUGGGAACGUUUCUUCUGGAGAAUUGGAACAUGUGUGGCCCCAAGCUCAACAGAAACCAGUUGUUCCCAAUCUGCCGUUACCAUCAACGCACUG